ACUCACCAAAGCCGCUGGUGUACUGGCCAUCUGGCAAACCGGGACAAAUCCCAGUGGGCUUUUGGACCAUUGAACUAUCCAUGAAGCUUCCGGCCCUGUCGGUGUCUUGCCCCACUGUGUGCAUGAGGCCGCGAUCCUCCUGUGGAAACACAAUAUGCUUCUGUCACAGAGACCAACCGAGUGUACGGGGAGGACAUCAUGUCAUCAUCAGGUCCAUCAGCGAGGACAGACGGAGCAGGUCUCCUGUGGAAAUCUCUUUAAAUCACACUUGUGCAAAAUAUACAGAACCAAAUGGAGCUGAAACCAAUGAUGACUACAGUGAGGUCGCUGUUCCGAAAUCUCAAAAUACAGAUGAAGACGACGCGAGGAGACUCAUCUACUCUGAGGUACAUUUUUCCACCCGGGCCGCCGGCUCGUCCUACAGUGCCGUCCAUGGCGACGGCGAUACUGUCGUCUACGCUGUUGUUCCUCGGGGAGAAGGGAGCUCUGACGCCGGCCGUGCUGAAGAUGAUCCGCCUGUGUAUUCGACUGUUAAUUAGCUCCAACGCUGCCACAUUUACGCUUCCUGUUGGCAGCAGAAACAGGUGUGAAGUAAAUAUGUAAAUAAUCUGAAAUAUAUUCACACACAGACGUUUGUUCAUGAGAUAAUAUGUGCUGCCUCAACAAUGUGCUUCAGGUCAGAGCUUCUUUUACUACUUUAAAAAGUAUUUUUAGAAGUUAUUAUUUACGUUAUUGAAGUGGUAUUGUCACAGUAAGUUAUUUUUGUAAAAUAAAUGGUUUUGGUAACGAUGGCAGGUUACAUUAGCGUAAGGUAUUUUGUGUAUGUGAUGUCUGUAAGCAGGUAACUGGGUCAGGCCGAGUUCUUAAAAAGCUGAGUUCUGGAUUAAAGAUGCUCCCAACUAUAUGUGACGUCUCCUU
RNAcentral lists this long non-coding RNA (918 nucleotides) under Cottoperca gobio. RNAcentral's name for it is "lncRNA (ENSCGOG00000001883.1)". The record is from RNAcentral. Lineage: Eukaryota; Metazoa; Chordata; Actinopteri; Perciformes; Bovichtidae.